UACGUAGGAGGCAAGCGUUGUCCGGAAUUACUGGGCGUAAAGCGUGCGUAGACGGUCAUGUAAGUCGGGUGUGAAAGCCCCGGGCUCAACCCGGGAAUUGCAUUCGAGACUGCAUGGCUAGGGUGCGGAAGAGGGAAGCGGAAUUUCCGGUGUAGCGGUGAAAUGCGCAGAUAUCAGGAGGAACACCGGUGGCGAAGGCGGGACUCUGGGCCGAUACUGACGCUGAGGAGCGAAAGCGUGGGGAGCGAACAGG
RNAcentral lists this ribosomal RNA (253 nucleotides) under uncultured bacterium. Its description in RNAcentral is "partial 16S ribosomal RNA". It matches the Rfam family "Bacterial small subunit ribosomal RNA", at positions 524 to 776 of the family's 1533-position model. The record is from RNAcentral.